GCAUUUAUUAAUAACCAUAUAUCCUUGGAGCAUAAUGUGCCCUUUAUCUUUGGUGCACAGUGUUGUUGUGUAAUAAUAUGAGUAUCAAAAUUGAUUGAAUUGACGCUUUUAUUUUGAAAUUUUAUUUUGACAGCGCAUGUUGUUUCCGCUUCCGGUACCGCGAAUACACGCUACGCGACACGGACAGUAGAUCCGUUAGAUUGAGUCAAUGAUGAUAAACUCCAUCUUUACGUUCAUCUUCCUGUCCACUAUGUAAUUCCUUCUGUCGAUUGAUCUGUGAGCCUGCAUCAACGGAUAAAUACAGAAGGAUAGUAACCAACCAGAUGUCUGCGUGUUCUCUGACUGGAACCCUGUAGUGGUCAAUGUCCUACAACAAAUCAGCAUCUCAGGGGGAGAAUCCCCAGCACAAAGUAUUGACACAAAUUACUACGACUGACUACAGAUGCAUUCAGCCGAGAGUCCCCAGCAGGUCUCCUUGGAUCAUAGUUUCGUGCGGACCCCGGUUCUGACUCCUGGCAUGGCUCUGCUGACACCUGCUGCUGCCAUCAUCAUUACUUUAAAUAUGAUUCAUAUUACUGUCAUCAUAAACCAACAUCUUUCUGCUCUCCCUCCCCACAGAAGCCUCUGUGGAUGGUGGUUGUCCCUGCAGUGGUCCUGCCGUACACCUGUUCUGCUACUUGCAAUUACUUGUAUCAUUUCUGUUAGAGAAAUUGAAUGUAUUGUACAUCUUUUACAUUGUUGAUUCUGUACACAUGACAUCCAUUGCAGUCUGUCCAUCCCGGGAGAGGGAUCCCUCCUCUGACGUUCUCCCUAAGGUUUCUUCCCUUUUUUCCCCAUUGAAGGGUUUUUUCAUAUUUUGGGGAGUUUUUCCUGUGCCGAUGUGAGGGUUUCGGGACAGAGGAUGUUGCAUGUGUACAGACUGUAAAGCCCUCUGAGGCAAAUUUGUAAUUUGCGAUUUUGGGCUAUACAAAAUAAAAUUAAUUGAAUUGAAUAAUGUUCGAGGACUCAACGUGAACAUAUCCUAAAGAUUGGUGAGGAUCGACGUUAAUAACUUUUGAAGUUAUGGGUCUUUCCUUUUCAGGCCACACCCCUUACAAAAUUCAUUGGUCCAUAACUUUAAUGAAAAAUGAGAUAUCAACAUUCUUUCAAUAAAUUUUGAUGGCAUUGAGCCAAUGAUCAUUUUGCCGAAGAUUUCGUAAGAAUCGGGCCAAGCGUCUGGGAGGAGUUUGCAAAAACGUGUUUUUCACUAAAUUCAAAAUGGCGGAAAAAAACACCAGGCGCAUUUCCAUACCAUAAUUGACUUUUUUGUAGAGUAAGGUAGGGCUUUUGCCCGACUUUCAGUCGGCUCAGGCCCUAAUUAAAGCUGCGAGCAGCGAUGAACGGGCCUUCGCCUCCCCUUGCAUGUCGGGGGGGCAGCGGUCAGCCGGACUCGCGGGUCAAAAAGAGACUAAAGAGACAAAAUAAAUCACUCUCGGGGCUGGUAUUCAAACCUCAGUGUUAUUAGUUUGCAGUGGUGGUUGUUUUAGCCUUGUUUUAAAUUGUGUGUAGUGUUAUUGUCGUUGGUCAAUCACUGUUGGCAUAAAUUCUUUUCAUGUGUUUAAAUAAAAGUGAUAUUGGACUAUACACGCAGAAGCCUCUGUCCGUCUAUGGUGUACCUCAUAUGGGACUUUUAGCCAUAAGCGUAAAUAAUCAAAUUCAGGGUCUCUCCCCUCAAAGAGAGACAUUGCUCAAAGUAUUCUAAGUGUCCAUUGGGUCACAUUUGGAUAAAAAAAACCUCAGCUAAAUGGCAUGUGAUGCAAUGUUAAUUUUGUUGACGAAAACUAUGACAAAAAAUAUCCAUUGACAACCUUUUUUCCAUGACUAAGACAAGACGAAAAUGGAUCUUAAAAAAUAAAAACUAUGACUAAAUCUAUGAUAAAUUUCAUUAACGUGACGAGACGAAAACGUUGGCGGUGACGAAGUCACAAUACUUGGACCCGUACGGCGGUUAUUAGUGUAAUGAUGAAAUCAUCCACGAACCCAGACCGCUCGGUCACUGUGGGGGCAGCAGUGGUUCUUGUGCACCGAUACGGACCGCGACGACUAUUUUAAGGAUGCGCGAGUGUGUGCAUCCUUGGUUUAGCUCAGCUGUUGGCAGGCUAAAGCCACGGAACUUCAGAGACCGAUGUGCGUAAAGACACAACCACUAAACAAUACACUAUCCUUGCGGUCCCUGUAGAUAUGCAUAUCUACUGUUCCGUUCGCAAAAACCCAUACAAAGCUGAGAACUACUUUAAGUGCCGUGGACCCCAUUCACUUCCAUAGUAGGAAAAUACUAUGGAAGUGAAUGGGGUCCAUCAACUGUCUGAUUACCAACAUUCUUCAAAAUAUCUUUCUUUUUGUUUAGCAGAAUAAAGAAAUUCAUACAGGUUUGAAACAACUUGGGGGUGAGUAAAUGAUGACACAAUCAUCAUUUUUGGGUGAACUAUCCCUUUAAAGAGCACAAACCCCUCUUUAAUAUGACACCAAACAACAUUCACCUCUAAUUGUUGAGAUACUUACCAUAAAAAUCCUCAACAAACAAAUUACUCACACAAAACGUCCUGAUAAUAUAUAUUUAACAUUUAGAGUAUUCACUUGCCGUAAUAUUGCAUAUUGAAACAUUAGAAAAUAUCUAGUUAUUUGAAUAUAUAGCUUUUAAAAUUCAAAGCGGGUUUUUAACCCCCAAAUAACAUUCGUUAGCUACCUCUUCUAACGUGUAACGUGUGGGCGAGUAAUAAUUAAAAUAAUCAAAUGGCAUCAUUUAAGGUUUUUUUCUAGAGAAGAAGGGCCGUCGGCGGCCGUUAUGAGUUUUAAAUGGUUACAUUAGAAUAUCCAAAGUUGCAAUUAAAUAAGUGAACUCAACUCUGCUAGCUACAAAAACAGUGCAAAAUAGCUUAUGCUGUGUUAUUUGACUUUAGCUAACUGAGUGGCCAUUGCAGUGACUUUUAAGUGACAAUUUGACAAAUGACAACCUGACACCAACACUCAGACUUUAUAAUAGCAACAACCGACAACGAUUAUGUUUGUUGCCUUAUUAUAAUAUUCAUUAAUUGAGGUAACUGUUAAAUGGUCAUCAUCUUUGUUGUGGCCCAGCCAGGCCCACACACACUAUCCUCAUGCACCAGCCCUGAUUAACACUCCCUCACUGUUCAUGUAGCUACCUGCUUGCUUACAGUUUCAAUGACACUCUCCUGCUCACUCUGUCCCUCCUUGACUUCAUUAUCAGACUCAGACACCUGCUGCACCUUCUCCUCUGCUUUGGGUUGCCAACCGUCCCGUAUUACCCGGGACAUCCCGAUUUAUGGGCAAUUUUGAUUUGUCCCGGCCGGGGAACAGCUCCAGUCCCGAUUUCCAAUCACAGCCUGGUAAGUCAAUGACGCGCGAAAAACUCCCGGUUGUUGUGACGCAUCAGACCAGUGUGUGCGCGGGUGAGAGCUGUCCUAUCUGUUGAAAUGAGCAGUGAGGCUGGCGCUGCAAAGAAAAAAUAGAUUGUGCAAGCCCGGCCGCCGACCGCUAGCACCCCCCGCGAAAGUGUCCCUGAUUUGGGGUUGGGAGACUUGGCAACCCUAUGUUUCUGCAACAUGUCGUCAGUUACUGUAGUAGUUUUGA
Long non-coding RNA from Pungitius pungitius (ninespine stickleback), 3630 nucleotides. RefSeq lists it as uncharacterized. Lineage: Eukaryota; Metazoa; Chordata; Actinopteri; Perciformes; Gasterosteidae. The record is from RefSeq and is a predicted model, not a curated record. The transcript is spliced from 3 exons.